This 516-nucleotide ribosomal RNA is filed under the name Fusarium redolens. RNAcentral describes it as "eukaryotic LSU rRNA". The stretch from base 152 to 305 matches the Rfam family "5.8S ribosomal RNA". The record is from RNAcentral. Lineage: Eukaryota; Fungi; Ascomycota; Sordariomycetes; Hypocreales; Nectriaceae.
UACCGAGUUUACAACUCCCAAACCCCUGUGAACAUACCUUACUGUUGCCUCGGCGGAUCAGCCCGCUCCCGGUAAAACGGGACGGCCCGCCAGAGGACCCCUAAACUCUGUUUCUAUAUGUAACUUCUGAGUAAAACCAUAAAUAAAUCAAAACUUUCAACAACGGAUCUCUUGGUUCUGGCAUCGAUGAAGAACGCAGCAAAAUGCGAUAAGUAAUGUGAAUUGCAGAAUUCAGUGAAUCAUCGAAUCUUUGAACGCACAUUGCGCCCGCCAGUAUUCUGGCGGGCAUGCCUGUUCGAGCGUCAUUUCAACCCUCAAGCCCUCGGGUUUGGUGUUGGGGAUCGGCGAGCCUUUCUGGCAAGCCGGCCCCGAAAUCUAGUGGCGGUCUCGCUGCAGCCUCCAUUGCGUAGUAGUAAAACCCUCGCAACUGGAACGCGGCGCGGCCAAGCCGUUAAACCCCCAACUUCUGAAUGUUGACCUCGGAUCAGGUAGGAAUACCCGCUGAACUUAAGCAUA